This 484-nucleotide ribosomal RNA is filed under the name uncultured bacterium. Its description in RNAcentral is "partial 16S ribosomal RNA". It matches the Rfam family "Bacterial small subunit ribosomal RNA", at positions 29 to 507 of the family's 1533-position model. The record is from RNAcentral.
AUUGAACGCUGGCGGCAUGCUUUACACAUGCAAGUCGGACGGCAGCGCGGGCUUCGGCCUGGCGGCGAGUGGCGAACGGGUGAGUAAUACAUCGGAACGUGCCCAGUAGUGGGGGAUAGCUCGGCGAAAGCCGGAUUAAUACCGCAUACGACCUGAGAGUGAAAGCGGGGGACUUUAGGGCCUCGCGCUAUUGGAGCGGCCGAUGGCAGAUUAGCUAGUUGGUGGGGUAAAGGCCUACCAAGGCGACGAUCUGUAGCUGGUCUGAGAGGACGACCAGCCACACUGGGACUGAAACACGGCCCAGACUCCUACGGGAGGCAGCAGUGGGGAAUUUUGGACAAUGGGCGCAAGCCUGAUCCAGCAAUGCCGCGUGUGUGAUGAAGGCCUUCGGGUUGUAAAGCACUUUUGGCAGGAACGAAAAGUGCCGUGCUAAUACCACGGUACGAUGACGGUACCUGCAGAAUAAGCACCGGCUAACUACGUG